Molecule: ribosomal RNA, 310 nt
Filed under: uncultured bacterium
Lineage: Bacteria
Description: partial 16S ribosomal RNA
Rfam family: Bacterial small subunit ribosomal RNA
Source: RNAcentral
UGGGGAAUAUUGCACAAUGGGCGAAAGCCUGAUGCAGCGACGCCGCGUGCGGGAUGAAGGCCUUCGGGUUGUAAACCGCUUUUGAUUGGGAGCAAGCGAGAGUGAGUGUACCUUUCGAAUAAGCACCGGCUAACUACGUGCCAGCAGCCGCGGUAAUACGUAGGGUGCAAGCGUUAUCCGGAAUUAUUGGGCGUAAAGAGCUCGUAGGCGGUUUGUCGCGUCUGGUGUGAAAGUCCAUCGCUUAACGGUGGAUCUGCGCCGGGUACGGGCAGGCUAGAGUGCGACAGGGGAGACUGGAAUUCCCGGUGUA